GGAGGAGGAGGAGGAGGAGGAAGCAUGUGCGCUUUUACGAUUUGUUGGUGUGUUGGGAGUGAAGUGCUUGGAGUUGGAUUUUGUACAAAGUGUCAGCCAAUAGGAGCUCAGCUCUCUCCCACGGCUGGCGAGGACUGUCACGCAGCUACUUUGGACCCACGGUCCUCAUCCAGUGGCCCGGAUGACAAGUGCACAUUCAAAGUGGAAAUAACAUCAGCACAACACUUAAAAAAAUAAUUCCAUAAAAAAAAAAAAAAUAUCCCAAGAUGCAUUAGCACUAUUUGACUAUCGUAGCACAAAUGAAUCCAAUUUCACUCUAUUUGCAGAGAGAGAGUUAAAAAAAAAAAAAAAAAAAAAAAAAGGACGCCUGCUUCCUCUCGUGUAGCCAAAAAUAGGAUUUAGAGAUUUAUUUGUAAAAAAAAAAGUGACCUCAUCUCAUUCGCCACACGCACACGCACGUGUGCACGAGGAGGGUGAAGACGUUGACGAGUGAGGAGAACGAGCUGCAAGAUGCCAACGCAGAGGAAAAAGGUUUUGUUUUGGAUCUUCCCAAGUCGGAUUUCUUUCAGCACACCAGCUUUCACCUGAGCAGAGGGUUCUUCAUCUUCUUCUUCUUCUUCUUCUUGGAACGAACUGCAGCACACACUCAGGAGUCUGCCGAAAAACAAAGGGAUGCAAUUAAACACAGCUGAUCAACAAGGAGGCAAAGUGGGGACGCAGGACGACAAAGUGGAGGUCAAGUAAAAGGGAGGUCGCCACACACGCAAACGUUGCCUCUGUUAUGAACUGAGGUAUAUAAGGGAGCGGGGGGAAAAAGAAAUGUUUACCAAUGAAGACGUCUGUGUGCCUACUGCGUGCACGUGGAGGUGCGUACACGGCGUGCUAAAAAGCUGCCCUGCAGACCAGACCUGUGGAAUCUUCAAAGUGGAGGAUUUGUUCAGGCUUAUUUGGCAACCUGGGAUUUGAAUUGGAUUUUGGGAGGCAUUCAUAACACAUUAGAAAACCUUACAAUGUGUGAUUUCAUGUCUAAUCCCCUUAUAGUCAUUUUUUUUUAUAAGGGGGAGUAUGGUCACAACAUAGCGCGGCUAUUCAUGAUUCAUCAAAUGUUUUUCUUUUUUUUUUGCCUGUGAGGUGAGUGUCUUCUCCUGAAGAGGUGACUCUUCACUUGAACCUUCCUCUCCUCACCGUUUUGUUGGUUUGACCUGAAUAUGUGAUAGGGUCAGCUCCACCGUGACACCCCCUGCUUUCAACCCCCAGUGGAUUAGACCUUUCUACAUGUGCGGACGGCAAGGCCCCUCCGUGACAGUUGGACAUCGUCGUCGCUUUCGGGAGGAGACAGCGGCGGCCGUUUGUAGCGUUUCCCAGCCUCGGGCCUGUGGGGAAUCUGUGAUGGCUCGCCUGUCAGCCGGCCCCUCCCCUGCAAUUAGGAGAGUAAACACAGCGCCCGGCUCGACAUGGGAGGGGGGGGGACAGAGAAGGAGGGGCGGGGACACCAUCCUGCUCCUGUCCUACUGCUGUCCCCAGACAAAGAUGACUGCACAAACUCAGACACUGCAAAUGUCUAUAAAAAGUGUCUGUGAAUACAUCACAGCAUAUCAUAGCAGGCUGCACGGUGGUUUGCAUGUCGGCCUCACAGUCAGGACUAUUGAGGCUUGGAACAACUCUGUGUGGACUUUGCUUGUCCUCACACAUCUAAAAACAAGCAUUUGGUUAAUUACAGGCAUUCAGAAAGUAUUCACAGUGCUUCACUUUUUCCACAUUUUCUUAUGUUGUAGCCUUAAUCCAAAAUGCAAUAAAUUCCUUGUUGUCCUCCAAAUUCUACACACAAUACCCCAAAAUGACAAUGUGAAAAGCUUUUUUUUUUAAACAUUUAUGCUAAUGUAUUAAAAAAUAAAAACAUACACAUUUUUUACAUAAGUAUUCACAGCCUUUGCUCAAUACUUUGUUGAUGCAAAUUGGCCAGACGGAAGCCAUUUCUUAGUAAAAAAAUUGCCAAAAUGCACCUGGAAAACAAACUUCUCUGGUCUGACGAGACAAAGAUUGAACUCUUUGGCGUGAAUGCAAGGCGUCAUGCUUUGAGGAAAACCAAUUCCUACAGUGAAGCAUGGUGGUGGCAGCAUCAUGCUGUGGGGAUGGUUUUUUAGCACAGGAACUGAGAGACCAGUCAGGAUAAUAAUAAUAAUAAUAAUAAUACAUUUUAUUUAUAAGGCGCCUUUCUGGGCACUCAAGGACACCGUACAAAAUCACAACAAUAAAAUCAAAUUGGAUAAAAAACAACAACAACAACAACAAAGAGAAAAGAAAAGAUGAUUACAAUGAAUAAGCAGUCAGGAAUAGGUAUGUUUUGAGUCUUGAUUUGAAGAGGGAUAUUGAAUCUAAGUUGCGAAGGUCUGGUGGUAAAGAGUUCCAAAGAUGUGGGGCAGAGCGGCUGAAAGCUCGGGCACCCAUGGUGGACAGUUUAAAUAAAGGGACAGUGAGAUGGAUGGAUGAAGAGGAUCUUAGGGAACGCGAGGGCGUGGCGACAUGGAGCAGGUUAGAGAGAUAUGAUGGAGAGAGGUUAUGGAUGGCUUUGAAAGUGAGGAGAAUUAUUUUAAAGUGGAUGCGAUGUUUGAUGGGUAGCCAGUGGAGUUGCUGCAGAACAGGGGUGAUGUGCUGGAUUGAAGGGGUUCUGGUGAUUAUCCGGGCUGCAGAGUUCUGGAGAAGCUGAAGUUUGUGAAGUGACUUGUGAGGGAGACCAAACAGGAGAGAGUUGCAGUAGUCCAGGCGAGAGGUGACCAGGCUAUGGACUAGUAUGGCAGCAGUAUGAGGGGUAAGGGAUGGGCGAAGACGAUUAAUGUUUUGAAGAUGAAAGUAAGCAGACCGGGUAAUGUUGUUUAUGUGGGCUUUCCCAUCCAACCUGUUGGAGCUUGAGAGGUGCUGCAAAGAGGAAUGAGUGUAACUGCCCAAAUAUAGGUGUGCCGAACUUGUGGCAUCGUAUUCAAAAAGACUUGAGGCUGUAAUUGCUGCCAAAUGUGCAUCAACUAAGUAUUGAGCAAAGACUGUGAAUACUUAUGUACAUGUGAUUUUUUAUUUUCAAUACAUUUGCAAACAUUUUUAAAAUACACAUUUUCACAUGAUCAAUAUGGGGUAUUGUAUGCAGAUUUUUUAGGACAAAAAUGCAUCUAUUCCAUUUUAGAAUAAGGUUUCAAAAUAACAAAAUGUGGAAAAACUGAAGCACUGUGAAUAAUUUCCGGAUGCACUGUACGUUCCUAAUGAUUUUCUGUUAUUACUGUUCUGUUAUCUGUUAUUUUACGCCCACCUUGUCAUGAGUUGAAAUAUUGGGAACCUGAUAAUAUCUAGUUUAUUUCUGAAUAAAGACACUGAUACUGAUUAAAGUCCAUUGUGUGAGUGACAGCGUUGGGAUAAAACAGAUGUGUUUUUGACGUCGCAUUUGUGUGGUUGUUUGAUUCCGUGUUUUAGUUCUGCGUUUGAGCUACCUUUAAGUGCAAUAAAAAGGAGCAAUGGAAGUAAAUCAUUAUUGAAAAUACUUAAGGAAAUGUAUGUUAAUAACAGUGACACAAUGAAUAAAAGUAAUGCUAGAUGUUUAGCAUUUGCACAAAAUAACCCCAAAUAAUAUAUUUGUGACCCACUGCAGUGUAUGAAAGCUUGAUUCUCAGCUUUCAGUUGUGUAAUUACAUUUCUAUAACAAGCAAAUAAAUAUGAAUAAAAGAAGGAGCAUAUCCGCCCUCACAUAUUUUGGGGCGCUUCAGAUUCUGCACCUUUGUAUUCAAUUCAAACAAUAAUAAUAUAACUUUGAUUUCUGUCUAGUUUUUGACAUGCUAAUAAGUGGACCUCUCAUGUAAUGGCAUAUGUUUCUGUUGAAGUCACACAGCGGGAUCCAAAAUGCAGCCCGGGGGUGAUCAGCGGCCCACAGCUCCUUAUUUAUUCUACAGCAGGUGUCUUCAAAGCUCAUCACAAUUUGAGCUGCUAUAAAGCGAGGUGAGAGAGUUGUAUUUUAUUGAUAUGACAUUUCAAAUGUACUUUAUUGACAAAGCAGAUCUCCACUCCAACAGUGCAGCUAUUAUCUUCAUGCUAGUUUGUGAUCCUUUGCCAUCAAAAAGAGGCAUAAGGUCUGAAUUUAAAUUGUAUUGAUAUUAAAUAAUAUUCUUUGACCUUUUAGUGAGCUACUCACAAUCAAGUAGUGAGCUGUUGGAGACCUCUGUGCUUGCGGAAUGGCCCACAUCGAAACAUAACACAAAAACAAAGAAUUACUAUAAUAAACAUUUCCCAAAUGCACCAAAAAAAUGGGACCAGCAAACAAAAAUGGUCGACUACCAGCCUUUACGUCUUACCCAUAGGUGGGGAGAGUAGCCAAUAAAGUCAAAAAUUAUGACUCAAGUACAAGUUAAAAAUAGUCAUCUAAAUGAUUACUUGACUAAAAGUAAGUAUUCAGUGAAACAAUUAUGCAAGUACUGACUAACUAGUGAGUAACUUCAUAUUUAUUUCAUAACUAUAUUAUACUGGUACUUGCACUACAACCAUAGUUGGUUUGUGUGUGUGUGUGAGACAGAGAGCCACUACUACAGAAUUUACUACAAAAUAAGUAAAUUUUACAGUCACUUAUGACGUUAUAAAAGGGCUAACAUUAGCAUAUGUGCAGCUAAAACAUAAAAAAAAUCAACAUUUUACAGUACCAUGUUUUCUCUAGUGGGCUUCUUGUACUGUGGACAUUUCUACUGACACAGAUGACAGCACAUGAUAUAAAUGGUUUUUUUUCUGAGCUUGUAAGUAAACAUUGAAGAGUUGUGGGAUCUGAGCCGAGGAUGUCGUUGCGGCUUGUGCAGCCCUUUGAGACACUUGUGAUUAAGGGCUAUAUAAAUAAACUUUGAUUGAUUGAUUGAUGGGCAGCACAGUGGAAGAGGGGUUAGUGCGUCUGCCUCACAAUCCGAAGGUCCUGGGUGCGAUCCUGCGCUCGGGAUCUUUCUGUGUGGAGUUUGCAUGUUCUCCCCGUGACUGCGUGGGUUCCCUCCGGGUACUCCGGCUUCCUCCCACCUCCAAAGACAUGCACCUGGGGAUAGGUUGAUUGGCAACACUAAAUUGGCCCUAGUGUGUGAAUGUGAGUGUGAAUGUUGUCUGUCUAUCUGUGUUGGCCCUGCGAUGAGGUGGCAACUUGUCCAGGGUGUACCCCGCCUUCCGCCCAAUUGUAGCUGAGAUAGGCUCCAGCGACCCCCGCGACCCCGAAGGGAAUAAGCGGUAGAAAUGGAUGGAUGGAUGGAUGAUUGAUUGAUUGUGCUGCACCGUAUGACUUCAUGUGAUAUUUUACAGUGUGUUGUUCCAGUGCGGUCAUAUGACUGCUAUUGGUGAAAUGGAGUCACGGGUCACUAGUGCUUACAUUGGAUUGGUGAAACCAAGUCAUGUGACACAGGGAGAGUGGAAGAGUUCUCUGUAACAAACCAAAUAAAUUAGUAUUUGCAAGUGAUAUUCAAUUGAUUAAAAACACAUGAUGAUAUAAAUAAAUGUAGCAAUUGUAAUGGAACUCAAUGUCCAUCCAUCCAUUUUUCCAGGGUUGCAGGGGGGCUGGAACCUAUCCCAGCUGCACUCGGGCAGAGAGCUGGGUAGGCACACCCUGGUGUAAUGGACUAAAAGUAGUGUUUCUAAAAGUCCUAAAAAGUAGGUUGCAUAAGAGUACUGUGACAAGUAACAUUUAAGUCUCUAAAAAGAUUAUCUCAAUGUUGGAGGAAAAAAAGUAUAAUAGUUUUGUCAUGACCUGUCACGUUAGUUCUGACCUAAUUUUGUGUUUCCUUCUUUUCUAAAUUUGGGACAAACGGUAGAAAAUGGAUGGAUGGAUAGUUCCUGUUCCGCACUCUUAUUUUAUUUUCACUUCCUGUCGACCGUACCACUCCUUAUGGCCUAAGCACUAUUUAUCUCACCUGUCUCUGAUUGGCAACUUGGGCACACCUGUUCCGGGUUUCCAAUCAGGCUUCAGACAGGGCUUGAUCGUUGUGUAAACUGUGUGUAUUGUAAACUGUUUCAUGUAUGACUCAUGCAUUUAUCAACUGUUUAUUUGUGCUUUUGACAAGCUUGUUUGUUUCCCAAAGAAGUUUCAUGUCUUGUGCGCUCCCUAACUGCACUUGCCUUCUUUUGACAUUAAAUACAUCUU
Long non-coding RNA from Nerophis lumbriciformis (worm pipefish), 6139 nucleotides. RefSeq lists it as uncharacterized. Lineage: Eukaryota; Metazoa; Chordata; Actinopteri; Syngnathiformes; Syngnathidae. The record is from RefSeq and is a predicted model, not a curated record.